This 253-nucleotide ribosomal RNA is filed under the name uncultured bacterium. Its description in RNAcentral is "partial 16S ribosomal RNA". It matches the Rfam family "Bacterial small subunit ribosomal RNA", at positions 524 to 776 of the family's 1533-position model. The record is from RNAcentral.
UACGAAGGGGGCUAGCGUUGUUCGGAAUUAUUGGGCGUAAAGGGAGCGUAGGCGGUUCGGCAAGUCUCUAGUGAAAUCUCUGGGCUCAACCCAGAGUCUGCUGGGGAAACUGCCGGGCUUGAGUAUGGGAGAGGUGAGUGGAAUUCCCGGUGUAGCGGUGAAAUGCGUAGAUAUUGGGAGGAACACCGGUGGCGAAGGCGGCCCCCUGGACCGGUUCUGACGCUGAGGCGCGAAAGCGUGGGUAGCACACAGG